Molecule: long non-coding RNA, 128 nt
Organism: Chelonia mydas (Green sea turtle)
Lineage: Eukaryota; Metazoa; Chordata; Testudines; Cheloniidae
Exons: 3
Source: RefSeq, a predicted model, not a curated record
ACCUUGGGGGUUCACAGGUCUUCCAGGGGAUAUAUCAACUCAUCUCGAUAUUUGCCAAGUUUUACAACAGGCUACAUAAAAAGCACUAGUGAAGUCAGUACAAACUCAAAUUUCAUACAGACAAUGAC